AGGAAGAGACGUCCUGAGGGGCACUCUUGGAACACACUCAGGGAGGAAAGCUCACAUACAAUGAACUGGUUUUUAUGGAUCUAAGACGAUUUUAACUGAGUAACAGUGACUCUGUUGUACAGAAUCAGCAUUCUAUGCAGGCAAUGGGAAAGCAAGAGUCCCUGUGCCUCGUAACGAGUGAGCAGGUGGCUAAGAUUAGACAGGACUCGGCAGAAGAGGAAACAUCUGGCUGCCUCUACAGAAGAGACUUUGCUCUCUUGGCCUCUCCAAGCUUUUCCCUCUAGCUUCUUAAUGAGAAGGCAUUGAAGAACCAGCUGAGAACCUGAAGAACUGGUGCCAGGACCACUGUGUAUAACAAGGAUUUAAAACAAGCCCUGAGUUCUUAUCACCUCUCAGUGCCUAAGAUCCCUGACCACCCAAGUCAGAAGAGCACAGCCCUGUCCAGUCCUACAUACCUGGAAUUUGGCCAACAAAGCACACUGGUGAUUCCUUCCUUCAUCCGAAUAAAAUUUUUUUUUUGCCGGUUAAUGCAAAGACCCUCCUUCAAGAUCUCUCUCAAAUGUGUGUGGAGCAGGCAUGGAAGGAUCCGAACAGCAGGGUGAACUGGUGGUACAUUUUCAAGUGCCAACCGUGAAGAAGAGGUCAAAUCCUAGAUCAAUCCCGAUUACUAUUUAAAGUGUGUCUUAAUGAGUCUUCAUUCUGGUCCUAAUACUGGCAUGUGGUCCAAACCUCCUCCAUCUCAGCUUCCUGGAUAAUCUCUACAUCUCAGCAUCUUCUCCAUCUUGCAGCAACUGUUCCCGCUCAGGGUUCUUGCUUUCACUGCUCCCCAUCACGGAUCAAAGCCUUUCAGAAGCCAUUUCCAACAGAUGCAAUUUAAUCUCCUCUGAAUCACUGUUAGGAGCUAGCAUACCACCACAGUCAGAACCGACCUGACUCCUUUUCUUACUUCAGCCAAUCUUAAUCACUAACUUCCAAGUUUCCGCACUGUAUUUCUG
Long non-coding RNA from Mus musculus (house mouse), 995 nucleotides. RefSeq annotates it as predicted gene, 53643. The transcript is spliced from 3 exons. NCBI's taxonomy places the organism in Eukaryota, Metazoa, Chordata, Mammalia, Rodentia, Muridae. The record is from RefSeq and is a predicted model, not a curated record.